GAUGAACGCUGGCGGCGUGCCUAAUACAUGCAAGUCGAGCGAACAGACGAGGAGCUUGCUCCUCUGACGUUAGCGGCGGACGGGUGAGUAACACGUGGAUAACCUACCUAUAAGACUGGGAUAACUUCGGGAAACCGGAGCUAAUACCGGAUAAUAUAUUGAACCGCAUGGUUCAAUAGUGAAAGACGGUUUUGCUGUCACUUAUAGAUGGAUCCGCGCCGCAUUAGCUAGUUGGUAAGGUAACGGCUUACCAAGGCAACGAUGCGUAGCCGACCUGAGAGGGUGAUCGGCCACACUGGAACUGAGACACGGUCCAGACUCCUACGGGAGGCAGCAGUAGGGAAUCUUCCGCAAUGGGCGAAAGCCUGACGGAGCAACGCCGCGUGAGUGAUGAAGGUCUUCGGAUCGUAAAACUCGGUUAUUAGGGAAGAACAAAUGUGUAAGUAACUAUGCACGUCUUGACGGUACCUAAUCAGAAAGCCACGGCUAACUACGUG
This 497-nucleotide ribosomal RNA is filed under the name uncultured bacterium. RNAcentral describes it as "partial 16S ribosomal RNA". It matches the Rfam family "Bacterial small subunit ribosomal RNA", at positions 28 to 507 of the family's 1533-position model. The record is from RNAcentral.